GAUGAACGCUGGCGGCGUGCCUAAUACAUGCAAGUCGAGCGAACGGACGAGAAGCUUGCUUCUCUGAUGUUAGCGGCGGACGGGUGAGUAACACGUGGAUAACCUACCUAUAAGACUGGGAUAACUUCGGGAAACCGGAGCUAAUACCGGAUAAUAUUUUGAACCGCAUGGUUCAAAAGUAAAAGACGGUCUUGCUGUCACUUAUAGAUGGAUCCGCGCUGCAUUAGCUAGUUGGUAAGGUAACGGCUUACCAAGGCAACGAUGCAUAGCCGACCUGAGAGGGUGAUCGGCCACACUGGAACUGCGACACGGUCCAGACUCCUACGGGAGGCAGCAGUAGGGAAUCUUCCGCAAUGGGCGAAAGCCUGACGGAGCAACGCCGCGUGAGGGAUGAAGGUCUUCGGAUCGUAAAACUCUGUUAUUAGGGAAGAACAUAUGUGUAAGUAACUGUGCACAUCGUGACGGUACCUAAUCAGAAAGCCACGGCUAACUACG
Molecule: ribosomal RNA, 495 nt
Filed under: uncultured bacterium
Lineage: Bacteria
Description: partial 16S ribosomal RNA
Rfam family: Bacterial small subunit ribosomal RNA
Source: RNAcentral